Molecule: ribosomal RNA, 491 nt
Filed under: uncultured bacterium
Lineage: Bacteria
Description: partial 16S ribosomal RNA
Rfam family: Bacterial small subunit ribosomal RNA
Source: RNAcentral
GACGAACGCUGGCGGUAUGCUUAACACAUGCAAGUCGAACGAGACGAGAUGGAAGUGCUUGCACGGAAAUCUUAGAAAGUGGCGAACGGGUGAGUAACGCGUGGGUAACCUGCCCUAUGGAAAGGAAUAGCCUCGGGAAACUGGGAGUAAUGCCUUAUAAUAUAGUGAAGUCGCAUGGCUUUGCUAUUAAACGCUCCGGUGCCAUAGGAUGGACCCGCGUCCCAUUAGCUAGUUGGUGAGAUAACAGCCCACCAAGGCGACGAUGGGUAACCGGUCUGAGAGGGCGAACGGUCACACUGGAACUGAGACACGGUCCAGACUCCUACGGGAGGCAGCAGUGGGGAAUAUUGCGCAAUGGGGGCAACCCUGACGCAGCAAUACCGCGUGAGUGAAGAAGGUUUUCGGAUCGUAAAGCUCUGUUAUUGGGGAAGAAAAAAAGACGGUACCCAAGAAGAAAGUCCCGGCUAACUACGUGCCAGCCGCCGCCGUAA